UUUCAUCUUCCUCACAGAGGUUUGAGUUUCCUUCUUUACCCAUCUCAAAUUUAGGGUUUCUUCAUCUUAUGAGGAUUAUCCGAUGUUUGUAGCUUCAUUAGGGUUUGCUAUUGGAAUUGGUUAUCGAUCUAUAUUUGCUUAAUUGCUGCCUUUAAAAUACUUUAAAAUGGAUGUCUCCGUUCAUUUGUUAGUUUUAUAGGGUAUUUUGGCGUGAUAAAAUUUGGGAAUUUGAUUUUUAAUGUCCCCCUUAUGUAGGGCGUUCAAGGACUUAUACCUUACAUCUAUACCUGAAAGUGCCAUCAUAUAUCAUUGCUGCAUAAUUUAGUAUUAGAAACGAGCAAAGUGCAAAAAAGGGUCAACUUUUCAAAAUUUUAUAAACAACAAAUGGAAUAUCCGUCCCUUUUGUUUCAGAGUAUCAAGAAUAGAUUAAAGAACUCAUCAUUUUUACUAUAUAGGACUCAUUAGCACUUGAAGUGCCACAAUAUAGUCACUGUUUGUUAUUGGGAAUGAAAGAAUGAGAGAUUUUAUAUUCAGUAUGACUUAAACGAUGGCCAAGAUGCUGUGGAUCUUUUAAAUUUUGGUAUUUAUGGAUAGUUGGAUACUGUUCAGUGCUCAUCCGAAUUAAGUUUCUUGUUUGGUUAUUCUCUAAUUGUUGUUUUUAGCUUUAGGUGUCUAAUCAUAAAGCUAAGGAGGUUGGAGUGAAAAUGAAAGCAAAGAAACAUAUUAUACUGCAAAAUUAGGACAACUGGGACCUUUUAACUUUUGUUCUUGGGGUUUUAAGUUCAUAUGAGAAAAUUAUAGGGCAUUGCUUUGUGGCAUAAGUUUGGAAUUAAGUUGGAUUUUUAAGUGGUUUGCUGGUUUCUUCUUGAA
Molecule: unclassified non-coding RNA, 870 nt
Filed under: Hevea brasiliensis (rubber tree)
Lineage: Eukaryota; Viridiplantae; Streptophyta; Magnoliopsida; Malpighiales; Euphorbiaceae
Source: RNAcentral